Molecule: ribosomal RNA, 273 nt
Filed under: uncultured bacterium
Lineage: Bacteria
Description: partial 16S ribosomal RNA
Rfam family: Bacterial small subunit ribosomal RNA
Source: RNAcentral
UACGGAGGGUCCAAGCGUUGUCCGGAAUCACUGGGUGUAAAGGGUGCGCAGGCGGGCUUGUAAGUCAGAGGUGAAAUCCCCCGGCCUAACCGGGGAACUGCCUUUGAUACUGCAAGUCUUGAGUCUUGGAGAGGUUGCCAGAAUUCGUGGUGUAGCGGUGAAAUGCGUAGAUAUCACGAGGAAUACCUGAUGCGUAGGCGGGCAACUGGACAAGUACUGACGCUGAGGCACGAAAGCGUGGGGAGCGAACAGGAUUAGAAACCCUGGUAGUCC